GUCGAGUUGUUUGGGAAUGCUGCUCAAAAUGGGAGGUAAACCCCUUCUAAAGCUAAAUAUUGGCCAGAGACCGAUAGCGCACAAGUAGAGUGAUCGAAAGAUGAAAAGCACUUUGAAAAGAGAGUUAAACAGCACGUGAAAUUGUUGAAAGGGAAGCGCUUGCGACCAGACUUGUGCUCGUCGAAUCAGCCGUCGCUCGUCGGCGGCGCAUUUCGGCGGGCUCAGGCCAGCAUCAGUUCGCUGCAGGGGGAGAAAGGCGGUAGGAAUGUGGCUCCUCGGAGUGUUAUAGCCUACCGUAUAAUACCCCUCGGCGGACUGAGGACCGCGCAUCUGCAAGGAUGCUGGCGUAAUGGUCGUCAGCGACCCGUCUUGAAACAC
This 378-nucleotide ribosomal RNA is filed under the name Pseudallescheria africana. RNAcentral describes it as "LSU rRNA". It matches the Rfam family "Eukaryotic large subunit ribosomal RNA", at positions 264 to 662 of the family's 3401-position model. The record is from RNAcentral. Lineage: Eukaryota; Fungi; Ascomycota; Sordariomycetes; Microascales; Microascaceae.